Molecule: ribosomal RNA, 514 nt
Filed under: uncultured bacterium
Lineage: Bacteria
Description: partial 16S ribosomal RNA
Rfam family: Bacterial small subunit ribosomal RNA
Source: RNAcentral
GACGAACGCUGGCGGCGUGCCUAAUACAUGCAAGUCGAGCGGAUGACGGAGGAGCUUGCUCCUCCUGAUUCAGCGGCGGACGGGUGAGUAACACGUGGGCAACCUGCCCUGUAGAUUGGGAUAACUCCGGGAAACCGGGGCUAAUACCGAAUAAUCCUUCGGACCUCAUGGUCCGAUGUUGAAAGACGGUUUCGGCUGUCACUACAGGAUGGGCCCGCGGCGGAUUAGCUAGUUGGUGAGGUAACGGCUCACCAAGGCCACGAUGCGUAGCCGACCUGAGAGGGUGAUCGGCCACACUGGGACUGAGACACGGCCCAGACUCCUACGGGAGGCAGCAGUAGGGAAUCUUCCACAAUGGACGAAAGUCUGAUGGAGCAACGCCGCGUGAGUGAAGAAGGUUCUCGGAUCGUAAAACUCUGUUGUGGGGGAAGAACAAGUACCGGAGUAACUGCCGGUGCCUUGACGGUACCUCAUUAGAAAGCCACGGCUAACUACGUGCCAGCCGCCGCGGUAA